GCCAGUGUGGCAUAGUGGUUUGGGUGUUGGAUCAUGACUCUGGAGACCAGAGUUCAAUUCUCUGCUCAGCCA
Molecule: non-coding RNA, 72 nt
Organism: Phrynosoma platyrhinos (Desert horned lizard)
Lineage: Eukaryota; Metazoa; Chordata; Lepidosauria; Squamata; Phrynosomatidae
Source: the annotation of a GenBank genome assembly